Molecule: ribosomal RNA, 253 nt
Filed under: uncultured bacterium
Lineage: Bacteria
Description: partial 16S ribosomal RNA
Rfam family: Bacterial small subunit ribosomal RNA
Source: RNAcentral
UACAGAGGGUGCAAGCGUUAAUCGGAAUUACUGGGCGUAAAGCGCGCGUAGGUGGUUUGUUAAGUUGGAUGUGAAAUCUCCGGGCUCAACCUGGGAACUGCAUUCAAAACUGACUGACUAGAGUAUGGUAGAGGGUGGUGGAAUUUCCUGUGUAGCGGUGAAAUGCGUAGAUAUAGGAAGGAACACCAGUGGCGAAGGCGACCCCCUGGACUAAUACUGACGCUGAGGUGCGAAAGCGUGGGGAGCAAACAGG